This 251-nucleotide ribosomal RNA is filed under the name uncultured prokaryote. RNAcentral describes it as "partial 16S rRNA". It matches the Rfam family "Bacterial small subunit ribosomal RNA", at positions 525 to 775 of the family's 1533-position model. The record is from RNAcentral.
ACGUAGGGCGCGAGCGUUGUCCGGAAUUACUGGGCGUAAAGGGCGCGUAGGCGGGUAAUUAAGUCAGAUGUGAAAGCCCCGGGCUUAACUCGGGGAGUGCAUUUGAAACUAAUUAUCUUGAGGGCAGGAAAGGAAAGUGGAAUUCCUAGUGUAGCGGUGGAAUGCGUAGAUAUUAGGAGGAACACCAGUGGCGAAGGCGACUUUCUGGACUGUACCUGACGCUGAGGCGCGAAAGCAUGGGGAGCAAACGG